RNAcentral lists this unclassified non-coding RNA (309 nucleotides) under plant metagenome. RNAcentral's name for it is "partial contains 5.8S ribosomal RNA, internal transcribed spacer 2, and large subunit ribosomal RNA". The stretch from base 1 to 105 matches the Rfam family "5.8S ribosomal RNA", at positions 50 to 154 of the family's 154-position model. The record is from RNAcentral.
GAAAUGCGAUAAGUAGUGUGAAUCGCAGAAUUCAGUGAAUCAUCGAAUCUUUGAACGCACAUUGCGCCCCUUGGUAUUCCAUGGGGCAUGCCUGUUCGAGCGUCAUUUGUACCCUCAAGCUCUGCUUGGUGUUGGGUGUUUGUCCCGUCUCCGCGCGUGGACUCGCCCCAAAGUGAUUGGCAGCCGGCGUACUGGUCCCGGAGCGCAGCACAUGUCGCGCAAACGAGUGCCUUGGUACGGCGGCGUCCAUAAGCCCCUCUCUCACGCUCUUGACCUCGGAUCAGGUAGGGAUACCCGCUGAACUUAAGC